RNAcentral lists this ribosomal RNA (301 nucleotides) under uncultured bacterium. Its description in RNAcentral is "partial 16S ribosomal RNA". It matches the Rfam family "Bacterial small subunit ribosomal RNA", at positions 509 to 807 of the family's 1533-position model. The record is from RNAcentral.
CAGCAGCCGCGGGAAUACGAAGGGUGCAAGCGUUAAUCGGAAUUACUGGGCGUAAAGCGUGCGUAGGCGGUUUGUUAAGUCUGCUGUGAAAUCCCCGGGCUCAACCUGGGAAUGGCAGUGGAUACUGGCAAGCUAGAGUGUGUCAGAGGAUGGUGGAAUUCCCGGUGUAGCGGUGAAAUGCGUAGAGAUCGGAAGGAACAUCUGUGGCGAAGGCGACUAUCUGGGCCAACACUGACACUGAGGCACGAAAGCGUGGGGAGCAAACAGGAUUAGAUACCCCCGUAGUCCCUGUCUCUUAUAC